This 460-nucleotide ribosomal RNA is filed under the name uncultured bacterium. Its description in RNAcentral is "partial 16S ribosomal RNA". It matches the Rfam family "Bacterial small subunit ribosomal RNA", at positions 338 to 795 of the family's 1533-position model. The record is from RNAcentral.
CCUACGGGAGGCAGCAGUGAGGAAUAUUGGUCAAUGGACGAGAGUCUGAACCAGCCAAGUAGCGUGAAGGAUGACUGCCCUAUGGGUUGUAAACUUCUUUUAUAUGGGAAUAAAAUGUUCCACGUGUGGGACUUUGUAUGUACCAUAUGAAUAAGGAACGGCUAACUUCGUGCCAGCAGCCGCGGUAAUACGGAGGGUCCGAGCGUUAUCCGGAUUUAUUGGGUUUAAAGGGAGCGUAGGUGGAUUGUUAAGUCAGUUGUGAAAGUUUGCGGCUCAACCGUAAAAUUGCAGUUGAAACUGGCAGUCUGGAGUACAGGAGAGGUGAGCGGAAUUCGAGGUGUAGCGGUGAAAUGCUUAGAUAUCUCGAAGAACUCCGGUGGCGAAGGCAGUUCACUGGACUGCAACUGACACUGAGGAUCGAAAGUGUGGGUAUCAAACAGGAUUAGAUACCCUAGUAGUC